Molecule: long non-coding RNA, 776 nt
Filed under: Salmo salar (Atlantic salmon)
Lineage: Eukaryota; Metazoa; Chordata; Actinopteri; Salmoniformes; Salmonidae
Description: lncRNA (ENSSSAG00000109537.1)
Source: RNAcentral
CCGGGGUGGUUUUGAUGCAUUUGGAUUUCGACCAGACGGUUACGAUAAGGACAGCUGUAACUGGUUCUACAACGGACCGCACUACCUACGGUUCUACUACCACACCCAACAGCAGCUAAUUUCAACCAAUCAACACACUCUUAACCACAUUACAAGAACCUGCUCUCCAAUCACAGCCCUGCCUCAGCACUGGCCUUUGCAGGAUUGGAUGGCUCUGGAUCAAGAGGAGAGCCAAGCCCUGAUUGGUCAGCUGGAGCGGGAGUGGGCAGGACAGAAGCAUUCUGAUAACUACUACACCCACAAGGUGAUGUCACAGAGGGGACGGGACAUUUGGCUGCCAAUCACCCCAGACAGCAGGUUUUGUUUUGAACUACACUGGUUCUCCGGUUGUCCUCUUGGCUCUGCCCCCUUGACCUGCCCUGACCUCUGCCGUGAAGCACGUUGUCUUGGUAACCCGAUGGCUGAGUGUCGUUUGCGGAACUGUGGCUCCUGCUUUACUGAGUGGCUUGACCCAACCACCGGAGCGGUGUAAGUUAGAUGGUCGUCCCUAUAAUUCCUCUAUCAACACCAUUGACGGCUGCCAGACCUGCACCUGCAAGGAGGGUAGUAUGGUGUGUUCCCCACCUUCCUGCCCCCCCAUCGACUGCUCUGAACAGGAGACACUUCAUGGAGAGUGCUGCCCUCGCUGUAGAGGUUGUAUCCAUACAGGCAUCCAUUACCACGACAGAGCUAAAUGGAGACCAUCAGAAAACCCCUGUAGUCUCUGUUACUGUCAG